Molecule: long non-coding RNA, 597 nt
Filed under: Polistes fuscatus (common paper wasp)
Lineage: Eukaryota; Metazoa; Arthropoda; Insecta; Hymenoptera; Vespidae
Description: uncharacterized LOC122514963
Source: RNAcentral
UAAAGAAAAUUAUGAAGUAAUUAAUGUUUCUUCGGAUGAAGGUAUCAAAGAAAUUGAUAUUUCUUCUGUUUUAAGUAAGUAAUUUACGCAUAAUUAUACAAAUAGGUUACUUAUUUUUUUUUUUUUUUUUAAUAAUUUUAUUAUUUGACAAAUUGACAAAUGCGAGUAUAAGUCAUUUAUUAUUGCUAUUAGAAAAAUCAAAUGAGGUUAAAACAUAUCCACCGGCGGAACCAACAAAAUGAAAAAGAAACUUCUUGAGAAAUACGAUAUACGAUGAUUGGCCAUCAGAUUAUAAAGUAUCAACGCAUUAUGCUGACUUAUUAUCGAAUAAAUACGUGAAAGACCAUGCCGAUGAAUUUCCUACAACUUUUUCAAGCUUGCGCGAAUCGUCAAAUAAAUAAUGAAAAAUCUGAUAGAGAUGAGAAGACAAAUAAUAGCGCAACAUACAGUAUAGAAAAUGUUUAUCUCUUAAGUAGAUUCAUUAGAAAUGUUAAAUCUUCUCGAUGAAUAUCAAUUGAAGUUAUUCAAAUCAAAAACAUUGUGUAGUAUUAUGGGAACUGUAAAUAAAGAAAUGGAAUGAGAAUGAAAAAUGAGAAA